Molecule: ribosomal RNA, 159 nt
Filed under: Verticillium alfalfae
Lineage: Eukaryota; Fungi; Ascomycota; Sordariomycetes; Glomerellales; Plectosphaerellaceae
Also listed under: 1 other name
Description: partial 18S ribosomal RNA
Rfam family: Eukaryotic small subunit ribosomal RNA
Source: RNAcentral
ACCUGGUUGAUUCUGCCAGUAGUCAUAUGCUUGUCUCAAAGAUUAAGCCAUGCAUGUCUAAGUAUAAGCAAUUACAAAGCGAAACUGCGAAUGGCUCAUUAUAUAAGUUAUCGUUUAUUUGAUAGUACCUUACUACAUGGAUAACCGUGGUAAUUCUAG